UGGCACGGCUGCUUUAUAGAUGGGAAGAGAGUUCUGCUGCAAAAAAUAUUAAUGAAUUGACUCAUUAAUUAGGUGAACAAAGAAGAGAGAAAAUUGGAGCAAAUAUAGGAGUGGAUGCCACCAGAAACUUUUUUGGGGAUAAGAAGACAGUUUUAUAACAUCAAGAAGAAUGGAAAAGCUGCAAGGCAUGCACACUCAAGAUGCUGUGCUCCUGGAAAGUUCUGGAUGGGUUCCAGGCAAUGCUUGGUGGCAAAGAAAGAUGAAGGUCUUGGAAAGAAGAGGAAAUAAGCCCUCAUCCUUCAAUAUUCCUGUUUCUGUGAGCUGGGAAUGCCACUGGAGCAUGGGAAGGACAGAAUAAUGUGUUCCUGCAGCAUCACGUGUCUGAGGGAAGGAUGCGAUCUCACCUCAUGCAUAAAAUUAGUUUAAUGGAACAGCAGGAAUGGGAGGGAAUAUUGGCUUUGCUGUGCUCGUCUGGGGGGGUGCCCUGGUGAUAACCUGGAUAAUACAAUCUGAUUUUGGCCUUGAGUCUGCUCCCUUGGAUUAUCACAUUUCUUCAAGGACCAAAAGCUGUGCUGGUGAUUCAGACUUGGAGGAGAAUGUCUUUUUUAGUGGCAAUUCAGCAAGCUGUGGGGGAUCUCACAGGAGCCCUUUUGCUCACGAAAUUCCAGUGCCCUUUUGGAUGGACCUGGAGCCAAGUGCUGCUGCUGGCUGGGGAAGGCAGAGUUUCAUCUCCUGUCAUUUUCCUCCUAUGGCUGGCAGUGAGAAGGUGAGAGUGAAACUCCCAGGAUUAUGGCUUGGGCCUCACUGGGAAUGCUGAAGAGAGAGAAGAACAAAUCCAUGCUUUGAAGGGCUUGAAUCUGAGCCAUCAGCAUCCCUGGCCAGUGUCCAGCACACCAGGUGGUUACAAGGACAAUGUUCUGGUUUUAGACCGCCACAGCUCCCCUGGCUGGCCCAGGGCAAGUGUAUUUGUCUGGAUUCCUGGCCUGGAAUUCGAAUUCCACACUAAGAAGGCAAUGCUCAGGAAGAGGAUGCUGUCUCCAGAGGAUGGAGGUGUUUUGCUCCUGACUUCCCAGCCACUCUUGGUCAGUUCCUGGGCUCCCCAAAAGGGUCAGGGUGGUGCAGCCACCUUAGGAAGGUGAUAAUUAAAUUGUCACAGACCUGAUUGUCUUCUUUUUACUGCUUAAUUUCCAUGGGAAGAGGUAAUAAAUUGCACAGCUCUCUUGUUUUUCUGAAUAAAGCUUUUCCUAGGUGAUGAUGCUUCUCUGUCAGGCUUGGAAAAGCUGAGGCAUGUGCCCAUGGUAAAGCAAAGCCUUUAUCUGCCUUAAAGGGUUUCAGAUUAGCUUCAUGUUCUCCCUCACUGUUUUGUUUUUCAAGCCAAUUACUGCCCUGCUGCCUACACCAGGCACAUUCCAGCCUGGAAGUUCUUUGUCGAGCUAAAAAAGACUUUCUCAGAGGAGCAGCAAACAGAGAGUGAGCAGCAGGUUGCAGAAUUAAUCAAGAAAUCAUUUAGCACCUG
This is a long non-coding RNA of Oenanthe melanoleuca, 1516 nucleotides long. RefSeq lists it as uncharacterized. The record is from RefSeq and is a predicted model, not a curated record. Lineage: Eukaryota; Metazoa; Chordata; Aves; Passeriformes; Muscicapidae. The transcript is spliced from 9 exons.